GUGCUCACUUCAGCAGCACGUAUGCUAAAAUUAGAACGACACAGAGAAGAUUAGCAUGGCUCCUGCGGAAGGAUGACAUGCAAAUUUGUGAAGCGUUCCAUAUUUAU
Small nuclear RNA from Pipistrellus kuhlii (Kuhl's pipistrelle), 107 nucleotides. NCBI's taxonomy places the organism in Eukaryota, Metazoa, Chordata, Mammalia, Chiroptera, Vespertilionidae. The record is from RefSeq and is a predicted model, not a curated record.